UUAAGUUAUUAAGGGCGCACGGUGGAUGCCUUGGCACUAGAAGCCGAUGAAGGACGUUACUAACGACGAUAUGCUUUGGGGAGCUGUAAGUAAGCUUUGAUCCAGAGAUUUCCGAAUGGGGAAACCCAGCAUGAGUUAUGUCAUGUUAUCGAUAUGUGAAUACAUAGCAUAUCAGAAGGCACACCCGGAGAACUGAAACAUCUUAGUACCCGGAGGAAGAGAAAGAAAAUUCGAUUCCCUUAGUAGCGGCGAGCGAAACGGGAAGAGCCCAAACCAACAAGCUUGCUUGUUGGGGUUGUAGGACACUCUAUACGGAGUUACAAAGGACGACAUUAGACGAAUCAUCUGGAAAGAUGAAUCAAAGAAGGUAAUAAUCCUGUAGUCGAAAAUGUUGUCUCUCUUGAGUGGAUCCUGAGUACGACGGAGCACGUGAAAUUCCGUCGGAAUCUGGGAGGACCAUCUCCUAAGGCUAAAUACUCUCUAGUGACCGAUAGUGAACCAGUACCGUGAGGGAAAGGUGAAAAGCACCCCGGAAGGGGAGUGAAAUAGAACCUGAAACCGUGUGCUUACAAGUAGUCAGAGCCCGUUAAUGGGUGAUGGCGUGCCUUUUGUAGAAUGAACCGGCGAGUUACGAUUUGAUGCAAGGUUAAGCAGUAAAUGUGGAGCCGUAGCGAAAGCGAGUCUGAAUAGGGCGUUUAGUAUUUGGUCGUAGACCCGAAACCAGGUGAUCUACCCUUGGUCAGGUUGAAGUUCAGGUAACACUGAAUGGAGGACCGAACCGACUUACGUUGAAAAGUGAGCGGAUGAACUGAGGGUAGCGGAGAAAUUCCAAUCGAACCUGGAGAUAGCUGGUUCUCUCCGAAAUAGCUUUAGGGCUAGCCUCAAGUGAUGAUUAUUGGAGGUAGAGCACUGUUUGGACGAGGGGCCCCUCUCGGGUUACCGAAUUCAGACAAACUCCGAAUGCCAAUUAAUUUAACUUGGGAGUCAGAACAUGGGUGAUAAGGUCCGUGUUCGAAAGGGAAACAGCCCAGACCACCAGCUAAGGUCCCAAAAUAUAUGUUAAGUGGAAAAGGAUGUGGCGUUGCCCAGACAACUAGGAUGUUGGCUUAGAAGCAGCCAUCAUUUAAAGAGUGCGUAAUAGCUCACUAGUCGAGUGACACUGCGCCGAAAAUGUACCGGGGCUAAACAUAUUACCGAAGCUGUGGAUUGUCCUUUGGACAAUGGUAGGAGAGCGUUCUAAGGGCGUUGAAGCAUGAUCGUAAGGACAUGUGGAGCGCUUAGAAGUGAGAAUGCCGGUGUGAGUAGCGAAAGACGGGUGAGAAUCCCGUCCACCGAUUGACUAAGGUUUCCAGAGGAAGGCUCGUCCGCUCUGGGUUAGUCGGGUCCUAAGCUGAGGCCGACAGGCGUAGGCGAUGGAUAACAGGUUGAUAUUCCUGUACCACCUAUAAUCGUUUUAAUCGAUGGGGGGACGCAGUAGGAUAGGCGAAGCGUGCGAUUGGAUUGCACGUCUAAGCAGUAAGGCUGAGUAUUAGGCAAAUCCGGUACUCGUUAAGGCUGAGCUGUGAUGGGGAGAAGACAUUGUGUCUUCGAGUCGUUGAUUUCACACUGCCGAGAAAAGCCUCUAGAUAGAAAAUAGGUGCCCGUACCGCAAACCGACACAGGUAGUCAAGAUGAGAAUUCUAAGGUGAGCGAGCGAACUCUCGUUAAGGAACUCGGCAAAAUGACCCCGUAACUUCGGGAGAAGGGGUGCUCUUUAGGGUUAACGCCCAGAAGAGCCGCAGUGAAUAGGCCCAAGCGACUGUUUAUCAAAAACACAGGUCUCUGCUAAACCGUAAGGUGAUGUAUAGGGGCUGACGCCUGCCCGGUGCUGGAAGGUUAAGAGGAGUGGUUAGCUUCUGCGAAGCUACGAAUCGAAGCCCCAGUAAACGGCGGCCGUAACUAUAACGGUCCUAAGGUAGCGAAAUUCCUUGUCGGGUAAGUUCCGACCCGCACGAAAGGCGUAACGAUUUGGGCACUGUCUCAACGAGAGACUCGGUGAAAUCAUAGUACCUGUGAAGAUGCAGGUUACCCGCGACAGGACGGAAAGACCCCGUGGAGCUUUACUGUAGCCUGAUAUUGAAAUUCGGCACAGCUUGUACAGGAUAGGUAGGAGCCUUUGAAACGUGAGCGCUAGCUUACGUGGAGGCGCUGGUGGGAUACUACCCUAGCUGUGUUGGCUUUCUAACCCGCACCACUUAUCGUGGUGGGAGACAGUGUCAGGCGGGCAGUUUGACUGGGGCGGUCGCCUCCUAAAAGGUAACGGAGGCGCUCAAAGGUUCCCUCAGAAUGGUUGGAAAUCAUUCAUAGAGUGUAAAGGCAU
RNAcentral lists this ribosomal RNA (2359 nucleotides) under Staphylococcus aureus. Its description in RNAcentral is "bacterial LSU rRNA". It matches the Rfam family "Bacterial large subunit ribosomal RNA", at positions 3 to 2360 of the family's 2925-position model. Lineage: Bacteria; Bacillati; Bacillota; Bacilli; Caryophanales; Staphylococcaceae. The record is from RNAcentral.